Molecule: ribosomal RNA, 305 nt
Filed under: uncultured bacterium
Lineage: Bacteria
Description: partial 16S ribosomal RNA
Rfam family: Bacterial small subunit ribosomal RNA
Source: RNAcentral
ACAGCAGUCGCCACGGGAAUACAGAGGGUGCGAGCGUUAAUCGGAUUUACUGGGCGUAAAGCGUGCGUAGGCGGCUUUUUAAGUCGGAUGUGAAAUCCCUGAGCUUAACUUAGGAAUUGCAUUCGAUACUGGGAAGCUAGAGUAUGGGAGAGGAUGGUAGAAUUCCAGGUGUAGCGGUGAAAUGCGUAGAGAUCUGGAGGAAUACCGAUGGCGAAGGCAGCCAUCUGGCCUAAUACUGACGCUGAGGUACGAAAGCAUGGGGAGCAAACAGGAUUAGAUACCCGCGUAGUCCCUGUCUCUUAUAC